Molecule: ribosomal RNA, 138 nt
Filed under: uncultured eukaryote
Lineage: Eukaryota
Description: partial 18S ribosomal RNA
Rfam family: Eukaryotic small subunit ribosomal RNA
Source: RNAcentral
UGGUGGAGUGAUUUGUCUGGUUAAUUCCGAUAACGAACGAGACCUUAACCUGCUAAAUAGCCCGGCCGACUUUGGUUGGUCGCUGGCUUCUUAGAGGGACUAUCAGCGUUUAGCUGAUGGAAGUUUGAGGCAAUAACA